Molecule: RNA transcript, 1658 nt
Organism: Papaver somniferum (opium poppy)
Lineage: Eukaryota; Viridiplantae; Streptophyta; Magnoliopsida; Ranunculales; Papaveraceae
Exons: 4
Source: RefSeq, a predicted model, not a curated record
UUGAAGUCCACUUCAGAGACAAAAACGAAACCGUAAGAAUUGUUUUUGAAGAUGGCGACGAAGGAUGGCAUGGUUUGAAGAUCAACUCAGGGUUCUAUGGUCGGUCCGUGACCCCUGGAUGCCGAAGGGUGAUCUCGUAGUUCCAAAGAUGGUUUACUAAUGAUUGAAUCAGCAACAACAUUUUAAGAAACAUUUUGGUCAUACCAUGGAUUAGAUAGAAUUGCAACUGACAACAUUUUAGACAUGACUGAAUUAAUUUUCUUGGUAGUCAUUUAUAAUCUCUGUAGGACUCAUGCCCAACACUAUGUUCAUUGGUAGAUUAUCUACUUGGGGAUUUUUAAUUAGAUUGUGUUCUCAAUUUUUAGUUAUCGAUAAUGUUCAGAUUUCAGUAAUUCAGGAUAACUGAAAUAUGUUGAUUUGAUAAAUCACUAUUUUUUCUUAGUUAAUUCAUAUGAGCCAGGAAAGAGACCUAACAACUCUUACUUCAUAUCUAAUGGCUUUCACGUAGAUACUUAUGCUGAAAUGUCCGAAUUUAUAACUACUUAAUUCACUGAUUAUGUGCAUGUGUGUAAUCAAAUUGAUCUCUCCUGUAGUCUUGAUAAGUAAUUGAGUAAAUUUCCCUGUAAUUUGGUCAGUGCCUUUAUGCAGCACUCUUUUAUGAUGGCUGAGAUGUGUAGUAGCAGUAUCACUCGGCAUCAUUAAAUAAGACUCCCAGAAUCCAAGUGUUUCCAACUUAAGUUAAGUAUUUGAAAAUGUAGAUUUUUGGCACAGAGGAUUGUCUGCUUCAUACCAAGUUUGAUUAAUUACUACCCUCCAAAUUUCCAGUUCUUCAACCCCCUUAACUCAAAAGAUCAAGUUUUACUUAAAAAGCUUUGUUUUUUUCUUUGUUUUAGGUUUUUUUUUGAAUCUUUGUAUAUGUAGUAGAUCUGUGAUUUCUGAUCUUUCUUGUUGUUGUUUUUCGUUAUUUUUUUUUUGUUGUUGUUGUUGAUUGCAGUAUGACAAGGGAUAAGAAGGCUAGGUAUGCCAGUGAGAGUAAAAAAGCUUAUAAAAAAAGGCAAAAGAAGAACAGAAAGGAAAAGGCUAGAUUACAGAAAUUCCAAAUCGAGGAAGAGGCUAAUGAAAUCGCUACAUCAGGAAGAAGUUGAGAUUAGUAAACUCGAGCACGACCCUUCCUCAAACAGUACUUGUGCAUCUAUCUCCGAAGAAGAUCUCGAAGAACUGAUGACUUCCAUCAAGAAAGAUCCAUAUUUGAAACCUAUUUUAGAAGAUUGGUGGUCCAAUCAUAAUGAUGAGGUACUUGAAUGAUCCAGAGGUUUUUCAGAAGUUCGCGCAGGCAAUGGGUUUUGGAGUUUUAGGAGACAAUGUUAGUCCGGUUGAAGAUAAUGCAUCGAAUGCUGUUGCAGAAGAUUAUACUGACAAAUAGGUUGAGGCAAUUCUUAUCAAUAAUUCGUUUUUUGAGCUAUUUCAUCUUUCCUUGUAUAUUGUAGCUUGUUUAAAAUGCAUAUAUUUUUGUGAGAGGAAUACUGACAGCACCAUGUCUGCCUGGUGCAAGAGCACCAUGCAUAUAUUACUUCCCUGGCAUUAAUUUUGCUUGAUUUGCACUAAUUUCUUAGACGACCUCGCAUGUUAAUUUUGAGAUCGGUUGAUUUUCUGGUUCA